AUUGAACGCUGGCGGCAGGCCUAACACAUUCAAGUCGAACGAGUGGCGGACGGGUGAGUAAUGUCUGGGAAACUGCCCGAUGGAGGGGGAUAACUACUGGAAACGGUAGCUAAUACCGCAUCCCAUCGGAUGUGCCCAGAUGGGAUUAGCUAGUAGGUGGGGUAACGGCUCACCUAGGCGACGACCCCUAGCUGGUCUGAGAGGAUGACCAUCCACACUGGAACUGAGACACGUUCCAGACUCCGACGGGAGGCAGCAGUGGGUAAUAUUGCACAAUGGGCGCAAGCCUGAUGCAGCCAUGCCGAGUGUAUGAAGAAGGCCUUCGGGUUGUAAAGUACUUUCAGCGAGGAGGCGUUACUCGCAGAAGAAGCACCGGCUAACUCCGUGCCAGCAGCCGCGGUAAUUC
This 406-nucleotide ribosomal RNA is filed under the name uncultured bacterium. RNAcentral describes it as "partial 16S ribosomal RNA". It matches the Rfam family "Bacterial small subunit ribosomal RNA", at positions 30 to 526 of the family's 1533-position model. The record is from RNAcentral.